UUUGGAUGAGUGGCGAACGGGUGAGUAACACGUGAGUAACCUGCCCUCUUCUUUGGGAUAACGCCCGGAAACGGGUGCUAAUACUGGAUAUUCACUGGCCUUCGCAUGGGGGUUGGUGGAAAGGUUUUUUCUGGUGGGGGAUGGGCUCGCGGCCUAUCAGCUUGUUGGUGGGGUGAUGGCCUACCAAGGCUUUGACGGGUAGCCGGCCUGAGAGGGUGACCGGUCACAUUGGGACUGAGAUACGGCCCAG
This 250-nucleotide ribosomal RNA is filed under the name uncultured bacterium. RNAcentral describes it as "partial 16S ribosomal RNA". It matches the Rfam family "Bacterial small subunit ribosomal RNA", at positions 86 to 334 of the family's 1533-position model. The record is from RNAcentral.